UAAAACAAGAGGAAUAAUAUAGCCUAAAGCAUAUUAAAAAUGUGCCACUAUCUUUAAAAACAAAUAGAAGUUUUCCAGUCCUAAAGAUCUUGGAGCCAAAGCGACGGCACCUUUCCCGAUUGUGAAAGAGUUGAAGCGCUGAUAGGUAGCUACUCAGUGACUUCUUAAUGCUCUCUCUUUGCACAUAAGCACUAGGGACUUUUACAGUGCACACAUUUAGAAGGAUUAUGCUACUUUACACUUUCUUACAAAUCAGAAAACUAAUUUCAUGAGCUUAAUUCCCCCCUUCACUUGAGAGAAAUAGGUACCUAACUUGCACAUCAAAAUUUAGCAUGAAAUUACCUCCUUACGCUGCCACCACCAAUUAUAUAAUAAUAAAAUUAGCUUUCAGCUAAGCACAUCAAUACUGGCACACAAAGCACUUCUACGCUCAGGUCACUAGCUCCAAUCCAUACAAGUAGGAAAGAAAAAUCUGCUGUAUGUAAGAGUGGUGGUCAGCAUUCAGUUUCAAGUGUGUGGUGGUUGCUAUGACAAUGUUACCACGACAUCUUGCAUAACCUUAGAAAAGAGUCCAAGGAUUGAAUAAAUACUGACACCAAGUUCUCCACUUUCCUAAAAGAGAUACUCCAACUGCUUUCAAAUGGAAAGAGAAACUCUACACACCAAAUCCACAAUUUGAAACAGGAAAAUUUUGGAAAAAGACACCCAACAUGAAACAUCUCAGCAAAAGAGGUAUACAGCACUUCUUUCACUUUGGAGGAAUGACGGCAGACAACCAAGAAGUGAACCAUCAAAAUUAAUGGAUUGUGUUUGAAAAAUUAACCUAAAACAAUAUGUACUUCUAAAAGAAGGUUUUAAAUGAAUAGUGAAUUAUGUUCUAGAAGGUAAAAAUGUUACAUGACAACAGAACCAGAUGACAGAACAACUGCUUGUGAAACAAGAAGAAAGCAAGCUAAUUUAAAUAAACCACAGGGCUAUCCUUCA
Molecule: long non-coding RNA, 984 nt
Filed under: Anser brachyrhynchus (Pink-footed goose)
Lineage: Eukaryota; Metazoa; Chordata; Aves; Anseriformes; Anatidae
Description: lncRNA (ENSABRG00000007433.1)
Source: RNAcentral